Molecule: small nuclear RNA, 102 nt
Filed under: Propithecus coquereli (Coquerel's sifaka)
Lineage: Eukaryota; Metazoa; Chordata; Mammalia; Primates; Indriidae
Source: RNAcentral
GUGCUCACUUCGGCAGCACAUACACUAACAUUGGAACUAGACAGAUUAGCAUGGCCCCUGCACAAGAAUGACACACAAAUUCAUGAAGUGUUCCGUAUUUUU